RNAcentral lists this ribosomal RNA (468 nucleotides) under uncultured bacterium. RNAcentral describes it as "partial 16S ribosomal RNA". It matches the Rfam family "Bacterial small subunit ribosomal RNA", at positions 28 to 507 of the family's 1533-position model. The record is from RNAcentral.
GAUGAACGCUGGCGGCGUGCUUAACACAUGCAAGUCGAACGGAAAGGCCCAAGCUUGCUUGGGUCCUCGAGUGGCGAACGGGUGAGUAACACGUGGGUGAUCUGCCCUGCACUUCGGGAUAAGCCUGGGAAACUGGGUCUAAUACCGGAUAGGACCACUUCUUGGAUGUUGUGGUGGAAAGUUUUUUCGGUGUGGGAUGAGCUCGCGGCCUAUCAGCUUGUUGGUGGGGUAAUGGCCUACCAAGGCGUCGACGGGUAGCCGGCCUGAGAGGGUGUACGGCCACAUUGGGACUGAGAUACGGCCCAGACUCCGACGGGAGGCAGCAGGGGGGAAUAUUGGACAAUGGGCGCAAGCCUGAUGCAGCGACGCCGCGUGGGGGAUGACGGCCUUCGGGUUGUAAACUCCUUUCGCUAGGGACGAAGCGUUUUUGUGACGGUACCUGGAGAAGAAGCACCGGCUAACUACGUG